This is an unclassified non-coding RNA of Cavia porcellus (domestic guinea pig), 112 nucleotides long. It matches the Rfam family "Y RNA". Rfam says of the family: Y RNAs are components of the Ro ribonucleoprotein particle (Ro RNP), in association with Ro60 and La proteins. The Y RNAs and Ro60 and La proteins are well conserved, but the function of the Ro RNP is not known. The record is from Ensembl. Lineage: Eukaryota; Metazoa; Chordata; Mammalia; Rodentia; Caviidae.
GGUUGGUCCAAAGGUAGUGAGUUAUCUCAAUUGAUUGUUCACAGUCAGUACAGAUUGAACUCCUUGUUCUACUCUUUCCCCCCUUCUCACUAUUGCACUUAACUAGUCUUUA